GUUCCUCACCACUCGCUGAGUCGCUGCUAAACUUAUGUCAAACAUGGUAUAGCCAUUUGCUCUUCAUCAACAGCAAAUUGCUAUGCUGGCACAACAAUUGAGUCUUCUUAUGGUUGUAGCUGCUCAAGCAGCUAAUGGAGCUUCAAAACCAAACGUCAAUAUGCAACAACCUGGAUUAAAUGGCACCAAUAUGCCGACUCAAAAUUGGUCAGGUCUUGGGUAUCAAAUUGGUCAGAAUGAACUGCCAAAAUCAGCUCAGGUUGGGAACUCUCCGUCAAUGUACCCAACAGGAAAUCCUUCCUAUUUCAAAGCAAUGGUGAAUGUAUGAGGCUUACUAUUAUUCUAAUGCAGCACAAUCAGGUCUUGUGUGAAUCAGUCCAUAAGCAGCAGGAGUAUUGGUGAGAAGUGCUUUCCUCAAUACAGUUUUUCAAUGGUUUUGAUGCCAUAAUAUAUUAUGGGCAUUAUGGAACUAUGGUCUAUGGAACAUUUUAAUCUUAUGGUUUUUUUAUUAUCAUUGACAUAAAAAGAUAUGUUAUUUGAUCUUGUGUGCUCUCCUCACUAAUUAACUUAAAUAAGGAAUUAUAUUCCAUAGACUAGGCAAAUGCACUUUUGGUCUUGUUCUUGGCAUAGAUGUCCUAUCAGGGUUGAGUUGAUAUUUAGUUUUUCACCUUUGCCCUUUUUUUAUUCCUAUUUGAUUAUUUAUGUUAGACUGUUAGAUAUAUAUGCUUUAAGCUAAUUGAUGAUUUUCUGAAUGGGUAAUUGUUUCUACGGGACAUUCAUGGAGCAGUGGGAUGCAGCCCACGGAUAUUGCUUAUGCAAAAGGGCGGAAGAGGAGGAAAUCGAGAAGAAUAAAUGGAGGGUUGUGACUUGUGAGCAAGCUCAAGCUAUCAAGUCAAGGAGGAGACUAAACGUUGUGUUUUGAUUCUUAAGGCUUUUCUUUCUCCUCUUUCUAAUUUUUCCUAGCUGAAAUUUUAUAGUAUUUAGAAUUUGUGAUUGAUCCUUUUAAUAAACAAAAUGAAA
Long non-coding RNA from Chenopodium quinoa (quinoa), 1020 nucleotides. RefSeq lists it as uncharacterized. Lineage: Eukaryota; Viridiplantae; Streptophyta; Magnoliopsida; Caryophyllales; Amaranthaceae. The record is from RefSeq and is a predicted model, not a curated record. The transcript is spliced from 5 exons.